GGGGGCGCAUUGGUUUCGACGGGGAUGUUGAAGCCGAAGUGGCAGGCCGAGGCGCCGCUGGCCUCGUAAAAAGCGGCACAAUAGUAAUUGGCAACGAUUACGACUACGCUUACGCUGCCUAAUUAGGCGGCACACCAAACCGGCUCACGCCCGAUAAGCCGGCGAGGUGCAAAACGCAUCGGGCUGGCGUGCGGCUGCGUUUGCCGGACCUCACGCGAGACUUUACGGUGAACUGGCCGAAGGUCGCCCUGAUUGGGGGCCAAACCGGAGGCGAGACGUUAUUCCCAAUCUAAGCCUGUAGAU
This 303-nucleotide transfer-messenger RNA is filed under the name Candidatus Bilophila faecipullorum. RNAcentral describes it as "partial transfer-messenger RNA". It matches the Rfam family "transfer-messenger RNA", at positions 1 to 321 of the family's 374-position model. From Rfam's summary of the family: Bacterial tmRNA, also known as 10Sa RNA or SsrA, is named for its dual tRNA and mRNA-like properties. The record is from RNAcentral. Lineage: Bacteria; Pseudomonadati; Thermodesulfobacteriota; Desulfovibrionia; Desulfovibrionales; Desulfovibrionaceae.